This 864-nucleotide non-coding RNA is filed under the name Pongo abelii (Sumatran orangutan). Lineage: Eukaryota; Metazoa; Chordata; Mammalia; Primates; Hominidae. The record is from RNAcentral.
AAACCCAACAGCCUAAAUAUCUCUGAAAACUGCAUCGCAAAAUGGAAGAAAGAGGGGGUCCCACUACUGUUUCAAAAGAGAGCCAUGGAAGCCAAAUGCUGAGGAUGGUGGCAUCAUAGGGUGAAUGGAGCUGGGUUCUUGAAACACUGCUUGGAGGAAAGACAGCAAAAAUGCCUCAUGAAUCCAACUGGACUGUUAUGAUGCUCACCCUUGGAGACCAGCAACAAUGUAUGCAGAAACCCAGGCCAUGUGGAAAGGCCCCACGUACGUGUACAACUGAGGUCCCAGCUGACAGCUGGCAUUGACAUGUGAGCGAGACUCUGAACGUUCCAGCUGAUGACGAGUACAGUUUGAGCGAGCUAUCCCUGUUGGGCCUGUCAAAACUGCAGAUUUCAUGAAGCAAAUAAGAGUUGACUUAAGCCAGUAAGUUUUGACAUACUAUGUUGCACAGCCAUAGUAGCUGGAAGAGUGUGAAACAAAUACUAUUCUCUUGUGUCUCAUUUCUCUAUAAAGUAUAUCUUCCCCCUUCCUUGCAUAGGGAUUCUUUCUCCUUUUCUCUCAGACAAUUCUGCUAUUAUCCCUGCUAGAGAUGCUAUUACUACUUCAAAUACUAUUGUUUUUAUAUCUGUUGCUACUACUGAAAAUAAGAUAAUUUUAUAACUAAUUUUGAGUAUGCAUCUACUGUAUAGAUUUACAUCCUUAACAUGUAUUAAAUCACGUAAUUCUUAUAUCAAAAGCAAGGAAUUUUAUCACCCCAAGAUUCAUAUGUUGAAGUUCUCACCUUUAGUAUUCGCAAUGUGACCUAUUUGGAGAUAUGGUCUUUAAAGAUGUGAAAUGAAGCCAUUAAAGUAGUCCUUAAUCCAA